Molecule: ribosomal RNA, 351 nt
Filed under: uncultured eukaryote
Lineage: Eukaryota
Description: bacterial SSU rRNA
Rfam family: Eukaryotic small subunit ribosomal RNA
Source: RNAcentral
CAAUAGCGUAUAUUAAAGUUGUUGCAGUUAAAAAAGCUCGUAGUUGGAUUUCUGGCCGAGUGUCCCCAAGCAGACAGACGUCUUGUCUUGGGCGCUCUGCCAUCCUUCUGUUAACCUUCGCCUCGUUCGUUCGUGGCGCUGGGGCUCAGAUAUUUUACCUUUGAGAAAAAUUAGAGUGUUUCAGGCAGGCUUUCGCCGGAAUACAUUAGCAUGGAAUAAUGGAAAAAGGACUUCAACCUCUUCUGUUGGUCUGAGAGGCUGUAGUAAAUGAUUAAAUAGGGAUAGUUGGGGGGCAUUAGUACUUAAACUGUCAGAGGUGAAAAUUCUCCGAUUUGUUAAAAGACUAAACUU